GAUGAACGCUGGCGGCGUGCCUAAUACAUGCAAGUCGAGCGAACAGACGAGAAGCUUGCUUCUCUGAUGUUAGCGGCGGACGGGUGAGUAACACGUGGGUAACCUACCUAUAAGACUGGGAUAACUCCGGGAAACCGGGGCUAAUACCGGAUAAUAUUUUGAACCGCAUGGUUCGAUAGUGAAAGACGGUUUCGGCUGUCACUUAUAGAUGGACCCGCGCCGUAUUAGCUAGUUGGUAGGGUAACGGCUUACCAAGGCGACGAUACGUAGCCGACCUGAGAGGGUGAUCGGCCACACUGGAACUGAGACACGGUCCAGACUCCUACGGGAGGCAGCAGUAGGGAAUCUUCCGCAAUGGGCGAAAGCCUGACGGAGCAACGCCGCGUGAGUGAUGAAGGUCUUCGGAUCGUAAAACUCUGUUGUUAGGGAAGAACAAAUUUGUUAGUAACUGAACAAGUCUUGACGGUACCUAACCAGAAAGCCACGGCUAACUACGUGCCAGCAGCCGCAGUAA
This 514-nucleotide ribosomal RNA is filed under the name uncultured bacterium. RNAcentral describes it as "partial 16S ribosomal RNA". It matches the Rfam family "Bacterial small subunit ribosomal RNA", at positions 28 to 523 of the family's 1533-position model. The record is from RNAcentral.